Sapajus apella (tufted capuchin) is the source of this 1093-nucleotide long non-coding RNA. RefSeq lists it as uncharacterized. The transcript is spliced from 4 exons. The record is from RefSeq and is a predicted model, not a curated record. Lineage: Eukaryota; Metazoa; Chordata; Mammalia; Primates; Cebidae.
UUGCCACCUGUGGGUGAAGGACAGGAAGCUUUGGACUGGGAAGUAGAGCUCCCGGCCAGGGAAAGGGGGGGCUCUGCUCCUGAGCUGGGACCCGCCAUGGCAGGUCCUGGACAGAGAGAAGACUGAGCCGGUAAAAGGGCCAUGCGGGGGGUUGAAGAGCCGGGAAGACUGCGCCCCCAUGUGUCCCGGCACCUCUCAUGUGUGUCAGGGAGGCUGAGAAGCUGUUCUCAUCCAGGAACGGCAAGUCUAAGGCAUGUGUGCCACCACCUACCAAUCCUCCCACUGUGGCAGACAUCACUGAUCCACUGCGGCCCCCUUUCCCCUGUGAGCCAGGACAUGGCCUCAUCAUCUGUGGCCACAGCUCUCCACUUCAGCCAGACCACCCGGAACUCACGCGGCACGUCCUCGGACACGGACACGUUGUACACGGCUGGGAAGAAGGUGGGCAUCUCGUCGUUCACAUCCAGCACUGCAGGGGAGAAUGGGCGCCGGGGCUAGGCCUGCCUUCUGCUGCAGACGACCCAGCUCCAGAGCAGUGGCUCCAGCUCCAGCUCCAGACCAAGUAGGGAACGAAUUCCCAAGGGAGUCAUGGGCUCCAAGUGGCAUCUGUGUUAACACCUCCUGGCCAUGAGCCCAGGACCCCCCACCCCUGCCAGGGCGAGGACCAAGCCCAUCAGUGCUCCAGACCCUCCUGCUGUCCCUGUGCCCCUGUGCCCUGGGGGCUUACUGCUGCUCAGCUGUCAAAGAUGAGAGAGAAAACCUUAGAACCUCUCUCCCGGAUGCACCUAACAACGACCAUGGCGACAUGGACAGUCAUGACAACGAUGACGACGGUGACCAUUUACGAGCUUGUCCAGCGUGCCACGCCUGUGCUAAGUGCUUCCCGGACAGGACCACAUGCGGCCCUCAGAGCAUCGUAGAAGGCGGGAAGCCCUCCCAGAUUAGGAGCAGCUGUUCCAGCUUGAGGACCCCACCAUGAUCUGGAGCUCAACCACACAGAAGAUGGGAGUCACAGGCUGCCCCUCCCCGCUUUGCUUGAUUUGUGAGACAGCAACAACAAAAAUAAAAUGACGUCAAGGGUUCUUUUGUAAAA